ACAUAGGUAGUUACGUCCAGUAUGUCCCCCCUCGAUUCCCGACAUGCUAUGAUACCAGGGUGGGUAGGAGCGGGUCGAGUCCGUAUCACCGCGGAACAACUGCAGCGUCCGGAUCUGAUCUAUCUACUCGGCAAUUCAUCCGGUGACUUCACGGUCGCCAAAGAAGCCCCAAGAAGCAUCAAACAUUUCCGAUGA
This 195-nucleotide ribosomal RNA is filed under the name Triticum aestivum (bread wheat). Its description in RNAcentral is "partial small subunit ribosomal RNA". The record is from RNAcentral. Lineage: Eukaryota; Viridiplantae; Streptophyta; Magnoliopsida; Poales; Poaceae.